Molecule: non-coding RNA, 387 nt
Organism: Biomphalaria pfeifferi
Lineage: Eukaryota; Metazoa; Mollusca; Gastropoda; Planorbidae
Source: the annotation of a GenBank genome assembly
CACUUUCUUUUGUUUUAUAUGCAUACUAGCAGUACAGACCCGGCUAAGCCCGUUGAUUUUGUUCCUAGUCUUUAUAUUGUUUAUUAUGGCAAGAACACCCCCCCCCUUUACUUUUUUCUUUAAAUUUUAAUAAACGGGCCAAAUUUUAACGAUCAACCUUACAUAUUUAUUAGCUCGUGAAUUAGUGAAUCUGUUACAGUGAAAUUUCACUACCCGCUCUCUCUUUGUCGCUCUCAGGAACCCCCAUUUAAACUUAUGACUUGAGUAGGAAAGACCCGCUUUAUAAUGCGCCCCUGACACAUACACGUUCUCCUAUUUUAGGCCCUUGAAUUUUAGUAGCACUUUGACUUCUCCGCUCCCUCCCUCCCUCCCCCCUCUCGCCAACAA